AGGGCGCUUGCCUGGAGGGCACCGGGAGGAGGACGCGACAGCUGCCAGCACCAAUCCCGAAAGCAGCGCGGGGCUCACCAGGGCACCAGUGGGCAGGGGUUGCUCCCGUGGGGCACCCCACGCAGGGCCCUGUCCCCUGGGUGAGUCCAAAUACAGGACUGGGGAGCAGUAGAGCAUUAUUGAGUUUACAGAUGGUAAACUCACAGAUGGAAGCUUAAUCUUUAGGUUUCUGGAUUAAGGUUUUACUCUGAUUGAAGGACAAAUUCCCAGUCACCGCCCAUCGCAAAUGCAGCCAAAUCUCUUCAUCAUUAAGCCCGUUAGCCGAAAAGAAGCAGAUAUUCUUUCAGCUUCAGCUUUCUCAUAUGUAUAAAAAUAUUCAUUAUAUUUAGCAACCCUCAGUCUCACUGCCAAUCUCCUUGGAAGCCAAGCUGAAGGUAAGGAAUGAGGCAGGGGUGUAGCAUGGAAGGGGUCUAAAAGGAUGGCUGGAUAGUCAUAAAAUGAUAGAAUUGUAGGGUUGGAAGGGACCAUCUAGUCAAACCCACUGCAAGGCAGGAAUCUUUUACUCAACGUGGGGUUCAAACCCCCAGCCCUGAAAUUAAGACUCUCAUGCUCUACUGUGCUACCCCAGGUUCAUUUACAAGCUACUUCCUUAGGAUAUUUACAUUCCAGAAUAAAAUUCUGGUUAUUUUAGAUUUAAAUUAAAGCUGAAUUCAACCUUGACAGUUUCUGUAUAGAUAUGUCAUUGGAGUAUGAUUUGAGACAUACAUAAAAUUACAUGUAUGUUCCCCUUUAAAAGCAGGAGAGUGUGAAGAAUUCUGUAUUGCAAUAUACAAUCGCCAUAUUUGCUGGCAGUUAGACCUUCCCUAUAUAUUUCAGGAAAGCUGGAACCACAGAAGGUUGAUUGGCAUGAGCAUGGUCUAGUAAACGGGGGGAAUUUACAAUAUAGACUUUAUACUAUUUGCUUCAUUUGCAAACACGUAAGCAGAAUGACUGGAGGCAAACAGGCACUCCUCUAAGCAAAUAUAACCACUGUGUGUCAGAUUCUGAGAGAGGAACGUCUACAGUAGCUUCAAAGCGACAUCCCAGUUUAGCUAACUGCAGUCCAGCUCAACUCUCAAUGCUCUCUUUCUCAUCUGUUGCCGAUAGCGUUCCUGACUUGCUGGGGAUUGAAAUAACUACCUCCCAGGUUGACCCCAAUUCCUCUCUCUGCCUAGCUAUCAGUCUCUUAACGUCUCUGCCGCUAAGAGGAAGGAGCAGGUUUAGGCAAAAAGGCUUUGUCCUGACCGUCACCUUUACACCUGCACUGGGGAUGGGCCGGUUGCACCAGGCUGAGUUGGCACUUCUACAGGACUCCAGGUAAAGGGCAUUCCCUUUCAAUGCCGGUGAACACACUUCCUUUCUAAUGCUCAGCAAUGAAUUUUUCUGUUGCAAGCAAUCAUCUGAGGCAACACGAUGACCAGGAUUUUGUUGACUUCACCCAGGGAUCUGUCGUAACAAGAAAAGGAGAUGGCCUUACCAUGAUCUCCAUCAUUGUUGCUGUUUUUGUCCUCUUGGCGAUUAUAAUCAUUGUGACUGUACAUUAUGGUCCAAAACUACGUACUAUCCAGAUCACUCUGUACCAUGAGCCCAUGCCACAAGACAUGGAUAAUGGAGUCCAAUUAAAAGACUGGAAGAAACUUGGUUCCCACAGAAAAAGCAGCAUGCAAUCUGCUCUGACAUUGGAGAACAGCAAUGCUUCUGGUCUGAACACUCAGUGUGCAAGUGGAGAGCCAAAUGUUAUAGAGAUUACUUACUUGUGAAAAGGCCUCUGGUGUUUCCUGGCAGCCCCCAGGGAGUUUCGCCUGACAUGGCAAAGCCCUGGUUGGUUUCUGGUGUACAGAGAUAGGCAGUUGGCAUGUUCCCUCCGGGCCUACUGGUUUAAGCCCAUUGGCUCCCUUGUUUAUUGGGGAAUUUAGGUGAUGAAACAAGAGGGACAACAGCUAAGGUGCAGAGAAGCUCAGGGUGAGCACUGGGGCCUCUUUGUGGCAGUGAUAGCAAUGAAGAAAAAUUACUUAUCUGCUAUCAUUGUGUCCAUGGAGUGUCAUCCAGUGACUAGAGACCUUUUCCAUUUGCAUCCCCAAGAUGGAUUUCCAGAGCCAUUGGUGGCCUACUGUAACUCAUUUGGGAAACAUUUCACAGAUAAUACCACUCAGACCCCUACUAACUUGGAUGACAACAUUAUGGGCAGUACAGAUGAAAGUAUGCUGUGGAAAGUGUGGCGCAGGCCCCGUAUAUUCAAUUUUUGCCCAUCAUGUUUAAUAACAUCUACAUGAUUUGGAAUGAUUAGCAGAAUUCAUUAUACUUGAGAGAAGCAUGACCCUAGCAUCUUCGAAGGUGGCAGCUGUGGGGCCCCUCUUCAAAAAGCCCUCCUGGGACUUAGGUGAUUUUUCUAAGUUUCCGUUGAACCCUAGGCCCACCCACCCCUUCUUGGGCAAGUGCUCAAGCAGCUGGUAGCUGCCCAAUUCCAGGAAUUCUUGGAAGGAAGGGGUUAUCUGGGCCCUUUCUAUUCCAGAUGAAACAGUGGACAUUCUGAACAGGUGCUGGGAUGGGAGUUUGUAUUAGUUUGAUAGUAGAAAAUAAAGUGAAGCUGAAUCUGGACUACCUUGAGAUUCUAUACCCUAUGAGAGAUCUAUUAAUUAGGCUUAGGCAUUCUUAUGUUGAUACCUAACUCUCCAUAGGAUGUGACACUUAAACCAGCCUUCCUCAACUGUUCCCUUCUGCUUGUGUGUCACCUGCAUCCCUUCCUAAGCCACUUUUUGCCAUGUUUUGAUGCAAUUCAAGUCAGCAGUGGGUAACCUAAGCAUGUGACCUAAUUAGGCCUCCAAGGUCUCCCCAUCUGGCCUGUAAGGUAAAUUUUUUUUGGGGGGCGCUUACCUGUGCAUCACCUGACAUCAUAAGAUAGCAGGUGCUGGAGUGGUGAAGCCAUAGUACCAGACUCCAGUGCACUCCACGAAUGCCCCCAAUCCUUCCUUUCCAGCCAUUGCUUAUUUUGGUACAUUUUUCUGUCACCUGAGUGCUGACAAAGAGGAGUACCAAAUUUUUAAAGUGCCAAAUUCAAGCUACGAAAGACAAAUCAGGGUCACACACUCUGGAUUUUUCCUUUGCAGCUGCAAUUUGAAGCUGUGGCUGCAAAGGAAGAAAGACUCAGGUGUGCACUUCCACACCUGCAGUCCAAGUAAUAGUAUUUCAUUGCAUUAUAUACCAGGUUGGGGAAGGAGGAGACAGAUUGUGUCACUAAGGAUAUUAGAGAGACGCCUGAGGUGAUGUCAGUUGACAACUGCAUAUAGACUUUCUUUUGUACAGCCGGCAGGGUCAAAAUGAAAAUACAUGUUCAUGUAAUAUAUGGCUUGUUCCAUUUGUAAUACCUGCUGCGGUACUUUGGAGUUCCAUAUAUCUAUCUGUAAUCAACACACAAUUUCCACACCCAGUAAACUGAUUCCCCUCUUGGUGAUUGUUGUCAUAGAUAUAGAUGAAUAUAAUAUAUUGACUUACAAUGUCCAUAGUAUUUCUUACCAGAGGUAUCUGGAGACAUUCUUUUCACUAGUUUCCAACCAAAAACAGCCUUGCAGUUAUUGGUAAAUUAUUCACAAAUAUAUAGUCUAUUUCUUAAGCAUUGAGAAGUUAGAUAACUGUCAAAUUGCCAGUGUUUCUAUGUUGUCCUGUGUUUUUCAGACUGGAUUUGUGGUAAAAAUUUUGCAAGUU
Long non-coding RNA from Podarcis raffonei (Aeolian wall lizard), 3741 nucleotides. RefSeq lists it as uncharacterized. The transcript has 3 exons. The record is from RefSeq and is a predicted model, not a curated record. NCBI's taxonomy places the organism in Eukaryota, Metazoa, Chordata, Lepidosauria, Squamata, Lacertidae.